GUCCACGCCGUAAACGAUGGGCACUAGGUGUGGGAGGUGUCGACUCCUCCCGUGCCGACGCUAACGCAUUAAGUGCCCCGCCUGGGGAGUACGGCCGCAAGGCUAAAACUCAAAGGAAUUGACGGGGGCCCGCACAAGCAGCGGAGCAUGUGGUUUAAUUCGACGCAACGCGAAGAACCUUACCUGGGCUUGACAUGUUGGUGACCGGUGUGGAAACACACCUUUCCUUCGGGACACCAUCACAGGUGGUGCAUGGCUGUCGU
Molecule: ribosomal RNA, 263 nt
Filed under: uncultured bacterium
Lineage: Bacteria
Description: partial 16S ribosomal RNA
Rfam family: Bacterial small subunit ribosomal RNA
Source: RNAcentral